CGGCGUGUGGCGCAGCCCGGCUAGCGCACUUGCUUGGGGUGCAAGGGGUCGUGGGUUCAAAUCCCGCCACGCCGACUA
RNAcentral lists this transfer RNA (78 nucleotides) under Ignavibacteria bacterium. RNAcentral's name for it is "tRNA-Pro". It matches the Rfam family "tRNA". Rfam says of the family: Transfer RNA (tRNA) molecules are approximately 80 nucleotides in length. Their secondary structure includes four short double-helical elements and three loops (D, anti-codon, and T loops). Lineage: Bacteria; Pseudomonadati; Ignavibacteriota; Ignavibacteria. The record is from RNAcentral.